RNAcentral lists this ribosomal RNA (491 nucleotides) under uncultured bacterium. Its description in RNAcentral is "partial 16S ribosomal RNA". It matches the Rfam family "Bacterial small subunit ribosomal RNA", at positions 29 to 507 of the family's 1533-position model. The record is from RNAcentral.
UUGAACGCUGGCGGCAUGCUUUACCCAUGCCAGUCGAACGGUAACAGGCCUUCGGGUGCUGACGAGUGGCGAACGGGUGAGUAAUGCAUCGGAACGUACCCAGAGGUGGGGGAUAACGCAGCGAAAGCUGUGCUAAUACCGCAUGUGAUCUGAGGAUGAAAGCGGGGGACCGAGCAGCAAUGUUUGGCCUCGCGCCUUUGGAGCGGCCGAUGUCGGAUUAGCUAGUUGGUGGGGUAAAGGCCUACCAAGGCGACGAUCCGUAGCUGGUCUGAGAGGACGACCAGCCACACUGGGACUGAGACACGGCCCAGACUCCUACGGGAGGCAGCAGUGGGGAAUUUUGGACAAUGGGCGCAAGCCUGAUCCAGCAAUGCCGCGUGCGGGAAGAAGGCCUUCGGGUUGUAAACCGCUUUUGGCAGGAACGAAACGGUGUCCGCUAAUACCGGGCGCUAAUGACGGUACCUGCAGAAUAAGCACCGGCUAACUACGUG